This 70-nucleotide transfer RNA is filed under the name Anoplotermes janus. RNAcentral's name for it is "tRNA-Gln". The record is from RNAcentral. Lineage: Eukaryota; Metazoa; Arthropoda; Insecta; Blattodea; Termitidae.
UACAUCUUGGUGUGUGGUGCACGGCAGCUUUUGAUGCUUGAAGGUGACAGUUUAAUUCUGUUGGAUGUAA